GAUGAACGCUGGCGGCGUGCCUAAUACAUGCAAGUCGAGCGAACAGACGAGGAGCUUGCUCCUCUGACGUUAGCGGCGGACGGGUGAGUAACACGUGGAUAACCUACCUAUAAGACUGGGAUAACUUCGGGAAACCGGAGCUAAUACCGGAUAAUAUAUUGAACCGCAUGGUUCAAUAGUGAAAGACGGUUUUGCUGUCACUUAUAGAUGGAUCCGCGCCGCAUUAGCUAGUUGGUAAGGUAACGGCUUACCAAGGCAACGAUGCGUAGCCGACCUGAGAGGGUGGUCGUCCACACUGGAACUGCGACACGUUCCAGACUCCUACGGGAGGCAGCAGUAGGGAAUCUUCCGCAAUGGGCGAAAGCCUUACGGAGCAACGCCGCGUGAGUGAUGAAGGUCUUCGGAUCGUAAAACUCUGUUAUUAGGGAAGAACAAAUGUGUAAGUAACUAUGCACGUCUUGACGGUACCUAAUCAGAAAGCCACGGCUAACUACGUG
This 497-nucleotide ribosomal RNA is filed under the name uncultured bacterium. RNAcentral's name for it is "partial 16S ribosomal RNA". It matches the Rfam family "Bacterial small subunit ribosomal RNA", at positions 28 to 507 of the family's 1533-position model. The record is from RNAcentral.